UGAGGAACAUGACCUUCGGCGGGGGAUAGCCGGCCCAACGGCCGGGUAAUACCGCGUACGACCUUUCGGGGACAUCCUCGGAUGGUGAAAGCAGCAAUGCGCCGAUGGAGUGCCUCGCGGCCUAUCAGCUAGUUGGUGAGGUAACGGCUCACCAAGGCAACGACGGGUAGCUGGUCUGAGAGGAUGGCCAGCCACAUUGGGACUGAGACACGGCCCAGACCUCCGUACGGGAGCAG
RNAcentral lists this ribosomal RNA (236 nucleotides) under uncultured bacterium. RNAcentral describes it as "partial 16S ribosomal RNA". It matches the Rfam family "Bacterial small subunit ribosomal RNA", at positions 118 to 347 of the family's 1533-position model. The record is from RNAcentral.